CCACUGCAGCCGGUGUGUUUUUAAAUGGGAGGGAGAGCAAGGAGGACCAGCACAAAUCAGAGGAUACAGCAUCACCUCAGCGAGACAAGAUAACAAAGAGCCUCAUCAGGAGUACGAGUCCAGACACAAAGACAAAAAUAUCCCCAAUAAGGAGAAGUGGAACCAGAAGUGAAGAUGAACCUGUUAGUCAUCCUCGCUGUAUUUGCCGCUCUAAGUGUUGAUGUGGCUUUUUCAGGAAAAAGGUCCAAAAAGAGAUGGUUACCUGAGCCCCGGGAGACUAACAAUGAGAUGUGUCGGUCUGGAGACGGA
This is a non-coding RNA of Labrus bergylta (ballan wrasse), 309 nucleotides long. NCBI's taxonomy places the organism in Eukaryota, Metazoa, Chordata, Actinopteri, Labriformes, Labridae. The record is from RefSeq and is a predicted model, not a curated record.